Molecule: long non-coding RNA, 3108 nt
Filed under: Heterocephalus glaber (naked mole-rat)
Lineage: Eukaryota; Metazoa; Chordata; Mammalia; Rodentia; Bathyergidae
Description: lncRNA (ENSHGLG00000037410.1)
Source: RNAcentral
GGAAAAAGUCUGAACAUACACCAAAUGUUAACAGUGGUUACCAUCAGAUGGGUAAUAAUAGGUGAUUUUUUCUUUUCACUUAUCUUUAGUUUCUUAAAAAAUGUAUAUCUUAUUCAUAUCUCAAAAAAAGCAUUUGAAGGAAAAAAAUGUUAUUCUUGGGAGAGUCCACUUAUCUACCCUGUACUCAUCAUUAUAUUCUUACAUUUAAUGUAAGAAAUGUUUUCUUUCCUGUCAUAUCUAAUAAGACACUGCUAUAACAACUGAUUGAAAGGACUUUCUUUUCAAAGUAGUACAAGAGGGAAAAGACAGGAACACAAUACAUUCUCCACGGCUGCAUAGCAUCCAUCCUGCCAAUCGCCUGCCAACAUGUAAAGAAUUUGGACUGUGGUUUGUCUGUGCUCACGCCAGGGGUGCCAGAGAGCUCCCUACAGCCAGUUCUGCACUGUGAAAGAUAGCCGGGCACUGUACAACUCCACUCAGCAAAGACCCAUACACUUUUCAUGCAUGGAUUCCAGAACACAGAACACCAACCCCAAAAUAAUUCAAAGAAAGACUCCUCUCAGGUAUACAUUUUUACACUGAAAACUUCCUUAUUGCUUCUGUUGCUGCCCUUUGCGCCUUCCUCCCCCAGCACACACACCCACAUGAGCACACGCACACAUACGCACAGAGACCUAAGUUCACCAGAACAUUUCAGCCAGCUGAGAAUUUGUAGCACAGUCACCUUGCCAGGCCGUGUUUAAAGAAGAACUCUAUUCUUGAGAUAGGUGCAUGGAAAAGACAUAAAAAAACAUAAAUUUCUACACAGGAUUCCCUCUUCAUGCCAUCAUCCACCAUCCCCAGAAUAUAUAGUGGGUUGGUUUUUUUUGGUACCGGGGAUCGAACUUGGGACCUUGCGCUUGCGAGGCUGGCGCCAGAACCACUGAGCUAAAUCCCAGGCCCCUAUAUAGUGGUUUUUGAGGGAAGCCAAGUACUCAGAAAUUAGGGUCCAUUUAAACCAUGCAUGUCAUUAAAAACUAUAUAUGGACAUUAAUUUUUCAAGCUUCUAGUUUAUAUUUCAAGUGUUUCCAAAUCCAGUGAUGUUUCAAGUGAGUAAGUGAAGUAUAACUUCUAGAAGGGUGAAUGGUGCACCAACCCACUUUCAGUUAUUAGCAAAGGGCAGUGUUUUUUUUUUGGUACCAGGGAUCGAACUCGGGUCCUUUCCACUUGCACAGCAGGCAGCAAAACCACUGAGCUAAAUCCCCGGCCCUGGCAGUCUCUUUUGAGUGCUUACAGUAAGUCACACCAUGGCUGCCCUGUUUUCAAGGACAAGAUGGCCCUGUGGGUGGCUCUCAUCCACAGUCUCCCUGGUUUCUACAGACUUGUCUGUAGAAGAUGAAUCCCUUUAAAACAGGCAGAUAGGGAUGCAUCAGGGCAGAAUACUGUUUCACCCAACACCCUUUAUCUGACGUAUCGUGACAAACACAAUGUGCCAGCCAGGCACUUCCCAACUCCUUUUGUGAUGGCUGCGCUUGAGGAACCUGCAGGCUGGAGACCAGCUGCCCUUGUGGACAGUCUUUCUGGGCACAUACGACCUGCUCUAAGACCCUGCAAGCCUGCUCCCUGUCUAGCACUGCCUCCUUCCCCUGCAGAGGUUGCUUAUAUAGUCCCAGGGCUGAUCACCUGUUCUAAUCUGAUUACUCUGUUUCCAUUAAAGCUAUCAACAAAGAACUCAAAGUGAGCCUGUGUGCCACCGAACUGGCCUCUCAAGCCUGGACAUCAGUCACCAACACUUUCUUGGACAGGUCCCUAAAAAUCAAGAAUCAGUCCAGAUGGAACUUAUUGUUUGUAAUGAACAUAAACAUAAUUCUGAUUUGCUCCUUUGUAAGCUGUCCUUUGUUGUGGAUACACAUUAAAAUAAUAUAAUUGCAAUGUGCUCUUAUUAGAUUCAAGAGGAUGUUUUUUUCUCCUGGUACCCAGGGACUGCUGAAGAGAGAACAGGGAUAUGCUCAUAGAAAAAUACCAGGCCGAGGUCCAGGAGACAGGAUGCAGAGCCCACACUGUUGGUCACGCCAGGUCUCAAGUGAUGAUGUGUGGGGCUGAUGAAGCAUGCCAGUCAGACGGCCCACGUGGACUCUGGGUUCUUUCACCCAAGGUCUGACCACUCUCUCCCAACCUGUCACCCUAAGCAGUUUUACAUCCCCAGGGCAUCUGGAAGACAUCCUCUCUCCUUCCCACCUGAGAAUGAGAAAUGCAUCCAGCUGAGUCUCAUCUUGGAAUAAAGUUAUCUUUAAAGAUCACCAUGGUUAAGGGGUCUGAGUUUUACUUGGCCUCUUUUAGGCCCCAGGUUUCAUAGAUGGAGAACAAAAGCUAAUCCAGGUACAUACAGCCAAUCUUGGUGAUGGGUGUAAAAUCAAGGAGGCCUCAUCUGGAAGCUGACAAUAUACUCCUGGCUCAACAUCUUCCAGGCAGCCCAAUGUGGCUGCUAUGGCUAUGAGGGAAAGGGGGACACCCGGCCUGCACAUGGCAUAAGGCCACACGUAAGUCCUGAGACUGCAGUGGUCAUCAGGACCCACAAGGCCAUGUUACAAGAAACCUGGGACAGAUGCAAUGAGCCACUGUCAUCGCAGAGUUUCCCCUCCAUGGUGCCAGAGGCUGUUGGCCAGACUAGUCCCGUGGCUGACUAUUCUGGUUGUUCCUGGGCCAUUCUCAGUUUAAAAGAAGCUAAAUGAAGAAACAUUAUAGUCUUUAAAUGAAAGCAGAAGGCCUGGAAAGUUCAAUGCUUCUGUCAAGUUUUGUGCUUUCACUGAGGGAUCCAAUCCUCCCUUUAAAGGCCCCCUGCCUCAGCUCCUGGGCUGUAAGAGUCUGAGGCUAGACAGCCCCAGCAGUAUGAGGAAUCUAAGGCCCUCACCACUGGCUACAAGCUGCUUGGCACACUCUUCAGUGGUGAACAGGAUCCUGGGUCUCAGGCCCCAGAAGUACACCAUGGUAAUGACUUGCAGCACUCUACACUUCUACGUCCAGCAUUUUCUAAAGUCACUGCUAUGAGAAUGUACAAAUGGCUUUAGCAAUUAUCCUCCUAUGAGUAUGUCACCUGAGCACACUCUAGUCAGCCAAGAGGGUUUCUUU